UACGUACCGGACGAACGUUAUUCGGAAUUACUGGGCUUAAAGAGUGCGUAGGCGGCCUUGCAGGUGGGGUGUGAAAGCCCACGGCUCAACCGUGGAAUUGCGCUCCAAACCGCAAGGCUUGAGGGAGACAGAGGUGAGCGGAACUGAUGGUGGAGCGGGGAAAUGCGUUGAUAUCAUCAGGAACACCCGUGGCGAAGGCGGCUCACUGGGUCUCUUCUGACGCUGAGGCGCGAAAGCUAGGGGAGCGAACGGG
This 253-nucleotide ribosomal RNA is filed under the name uncultured bacterium. Its description in RNAcentral is "partial 16S ribosomal RNA". It matches the Rfam family "Bacterial small subunit ribosomal RNA", at positions 524 to 776 of the family's 1533-position model. The record is from RNAcentral.